Molecule: ribosomal RNA, 486 nt
Filed under: uncultured bacterium
Lineage: Bacteria
Description: partial 16S ribosomal RNA
Rfam family: Bacterial small subunit ribosomal RNA
Source: RNAcentral
GACGAACGCUGGCGGCGUGCUUAACACAUGCAAGUCGAACGCUGAAGACCUGGCUUUUGUUGGGUUGGAUGAGUGGCGAACGGGUGAGUAACACGUGAGUAACCUGCCCUCUUCUUUGGGAUAACGCCCGGAAACGGGUGCUAAUACUGGAUAUUCACUGGCCUUCGCAUGGGGGUUGGUGGAAAGGUUUGUUCUGGUGGGGGAUGGGCUCGCGGCCUAUCAGCUUGUUGGUGGGGUGAUGGCCUACCAAGGCUUUGACGGGUAGCCGGCCUGAGAGGGUGACCGGUCACAUUGGGACUGGGAUACGGCCCAGACUCCUACGGGAGGCAGCAGUGGGGAAUAUUGCACAAUGGGCGAAAGCCGGAUGCAGCGACGCCGCGUGAGGGAUGGAGGCCUUCGGGUUGUAAACCUCUUUCGCUCAUGGUCAAGCCGCAACUGUGGGUUGUGGUGAGGGUAGUGGGUAAAGAAGCGCCGGCUAACUACGUG